GAUCAUGGCUCAGGAUGAACGCUAGCUACAGGCUUAACACAUGCAAGUCGAGGGGCAGCAUUGGAGUAGCAAUACUUCAGAUGGCGACCGGCGCACGGGUGAGUAACACGUAUCCAACCUGCCGCUUACUCGGGGAUAGCCUUUCGAAAGAAAGAUUAAUACCCGAUGGUAUAAAGAGUUCGCAUGUUCUCUUUAUUAAAGAAUUUCGGUAAGCGAUGGGGAUGCGUUCCAUUAGAUAGUUGGCGGGGUAACGGCCCACCAAGUCUACGAUGGAUAGGGGUUCUGAGAGGAAGGUCCCCCACAUUGGAACUGAGACACGGUCCAAACUCCUACGGGAGGCAGCAGUGAGGAAUAUUGGUCAAUGGACGAGAGUCUGAACCAGCCAAGUAGCGCGAAGGAUGACUGCCCUAUGGGUUGUAAACUUCUUUUAUAAGGGAAUAAAGUGAGGGACGUGUCCCUUUUUGUAUGUACCUUAUGAAUAAGGAUCGGCUAACUCCGUGCCAGCAGCUGC
Molecule: ribosomal RNA, 511 nt
Filed under: uncultured bacterium
Lineage: Bacteria
Description: bacterial SSU rRNA
Rfam family: Bacterial small subunit ribosomal RNA
Source: RNAcentral